This 1611-nucleotide ribosomal RNA is filed under the name Salmonella enterica subsp. enterica serovar Paratyphi A. RNAcentral's name for it is "16S ribosomal RNA". The record is from RNAcentral. Lineage: Bacteria; Pseudomonadati; Pseudomonadota; Gammaproteobacteria; Enterobacterales; Enterobacteriaceae.
UUCUUUAAGGUAAGGAGGUGAUCCAACCGCAGGUUCCCCUACGGUUACCUUGUUACGACUUCACCCCAGUCAUGAAUCACAAAGUGGUAAGCGCCCUCCCGAAGGUUAAGCUACCUACUUCUUUUGCAACCCACUCCCAUGGUGUGACGGGCGGUGUGUACAAGGCCCGGGAACGUAUUCACCGUGGCAUUCUGAUCCACGAUUACUAGCGAUUCCGACUUCAUGGAGUCGAGUUGCAGACUCCAAUCCGGACUACGACGCACUUUAUGAGGUCCGCUUGCUCUCGCGAGGUCGCUUCUCUUUGUAUGCGCCAUUGUAGCACGUGUGUAGCCCUGGUCGUAAGGGCCAUGAUGACUUGACGUCAUCCCCACCUUCCUCCAGUUUAUCACUGGCAGUCUCCUUUGAGUUCCCGGCCGGACCGCUGGCAACAAAGGAUAAGGGUUGCGCUCGUUGCGGGACUUAACCCAACAUUUCACAACACGAGCUGACGACAGCCAUGCAGCACCUGUCUCACGGUUCCCGAAGGCACAUUCUCAUCUCUGAAAACUUCCGUGGAUGUCAAGACCAGGUAAGGUUCUUCGCGUUGCAUCGAAUUAAACCACAUGCUCCACCGCUUGUGCGGGCCCCCGUCAAUUCAUUUGAGUUUUAACCUUGCGGCCGUACUCCCCAGGCGGUCUACUUAACGCGUUAGCUCCGGAAGCCACGCCUCAAGGGCACAACCUCCAAGUAGACAUCGUUUACGGCGUGGACUACCAGGGUAUCUAAUCCUGUUUGCUCCCCACGCUUUCGCACCUGAGCGUCAGUCUUUGUCCAGGGGGCCGCCUUCGCCACCGGUAUUCCUCCAGAUCUCUACGCAUUUCACCGCUACACCUGGAAUUCUACCCCCCUCUACAAGACUCAAGCCUGCCAGUUUCGAAUGCAGUUCCCAGGUUGAGCCCGGGGAUUUCACAUCCGACUUGACAGACCGCCUGCGUGCGCUUUACGCCCAGUAAUUCCGAUUAACGCUUGCACCCUCCGUAUUACCGCGGCUGCUGGCACGGAGUUAGCCGGUGCUUCUUCUGCGGGUAACGUCAAUUGCUGCGGUUAUUAACCACAACACCUUCCUCCCCGCUGAAAGUACUUUACAACCCGAAGGCCUUCUUCAUACACGCGGCAUGGCUGCAUCAGGCUUGCGCCCAUUGUGCAAUAUUCCCCACUGCUGCCUCCCGUAGGAGUCUGGACCGUGUCUCAGUUCCAGUGUGGCUGGUCAUCCUCUCAGACCAGCUAGGGAUCGUCGCCUUGGUGAGCCGUUACCUCACCAACAAGCUAAUCCCAUCUGGGCACAUCUGAUGGCAAGAGGCCCGAAGGUCCCCCUCUUUGGUCUUGCGACGUUAUGCGGUAUUAGCCACCGUUUCCAGUAGUUAUCCCCCUCCAUCAGGCAGUUUCCCAGACAUUACUCACCCGUCCGCCACUCGUCAGCAAAGCAGCAAGCUGCUUCCUGUUACCGUUCGACUUGCAUGUGUUAGGCCUGCCGCCAGCGUUCAAUCUGAGCCAUGAUCAAACUCUUCAAUUUAAAAGUUUGAUGCUCAAUGAAUUAAACUUCGUAAUGAAUUACGUGUUCACUCUUGAGAC